This 386-nucleotide long non-coding RNA is filed under the name Oryctolagus cuniculus (rabbit). RNAcentral's name for it is "lncRNA (ENSOCUG00000033875.1)". The record is from RNAcentral. Lineage: Eukaryota; Metazoa; Chordata; Mammalia; Lagomorpha; Leporidae.
AGCCGGGCGGUAGGGGUGGGGGGCCCAGACUGCCACCUUGCCUUAUUUGGUCGCCUUCACACCAUCUAGGACCGCCGAGGCCAUUCAUGGAGCCAAGGGCAGGGGAGAGGAUCAGCGGGGGGCUCCCAGACCAUACCCAGACAUGACUGCAUCGUGCCUAUUGAGAAAGAUUGGUUCGCAUCCUAUGAGUGAAUUUUGUUUAGCCUAAGAAUCAGCACCAGAAUCUCGGCACCUGCGUGUUGGCAGCCAGGAGCAGGUGGCCCAGGCCAUGCUGAUGAUGGUCGCAGUGGACUGGACACAGCGGUGGAAGACACAGUUGCACUCCACAGUUUAUUUACAGCAGCUUCCAGAUGACGCUGAUGCUGCCCUUCUGGAACACAGUCUCA